Molecule: ribosomal RNA, 494 nt
Filed under: uncultured bacterium
Lineage: Bacteria
Description: partial 16S ribosomal RNA
Rfam family: Bacterial small subunit ribosomal RNA
Source: RNAcentral
GACGAACGCUGGCGGCGUGCUUAACACAUGCAAGUCGAACGGAAAGGCCUGCUUUCCCUUGUGGAUUGCGGGUACUCGAGUGGCGAACGGGUGAGUAACACGUGAGUGAUCUGCCCCCAACUUGGGUAUAAGCCUGGGAAACUGGGUCUAAUUCCCGAUAGGACUGCAGGGUGGUGCCUGUGGUGGAAAACGAUUUUCUAGUGGUUGGAGAUGAGCUCGCGGCCUAUCAGCUUGUUGGUGGGGUAAUGGCCUACCAAGGCGGCGACGGGUAGCCGGCCUGAGAGGGUGGACGGCCACAUUGGGACUGAGAUACGGCCCAGACUCCUACGGGAGGCAGCAGUGGGGAAUAUUGCACAAUGGGCGGAAGCCUGAUGCAGCGACGCCGCGUGGGGGAUGACGGCCUUCGGGUUGUAAACUCCUUUCGACCGCGAGGAAGCCACCUGGUUGGAAGGGUGGUGACGGUAGUGGUAGAAGAAGCACCGGCUAACUACGUG